Long non-coding RNA from Xiphias gladius (swordfish), 781 nucleotides. RefSeq lists it as uncharacterized. The transcript has 3 exons. Lineage: Eukaryota; Metazoa; Chordata; Actinopteri; Istiophoriformes; Xiphiidae. The record is from RefSeq and is a predicted model, not a curated record.
ACUGAGGUUGGACAGAACGUUUCAGUCGCUGUCAAUUCCCAGUCGGUUGGAAACAGUGAUCAGAGGUGGUGGCAGCUGGUGAUUUCUCACCUGGGUGGGGCCACGAGGGGCUGGACGCAGACGAUGUGAUACUGGAUAGAAAGAAGGAACGGAACAGGGCGGCUACAGGUCUCUUCUCUAACCAUAAGUUACAGCAGAUGGAGGCGGAUCAGGAGGAACCAGUGCUUUAUUAGUGCGUCUUGCAUCUGGGACGGUCCCACUAGGAAAGAAGAUACAAAAAAGACUCGUCUUGCAGUUAAGUUCAUACUGUACGACUUCAUUUGAAUUCAUAUCUAAAUGCUUAAAAAGUACAAACCAAUUCAUGUGCUUCCACUUACUAUUUAAUAAUAAUGAUAGUGAUAAUAAUACUAAGCUUGCCGACUCUGAAUUAAGCUCGGUGGCCGGCGGGGCGCCACACGUACGCCCCCUGUUGACCGGCCCCGCUGAUGAGAGGUUAAGUCUGGAAUCAAAAAGAAAUCAAUCAACCAAUCAAUGAGCCAAAAGAUGUUAUUUCACACAGCAGCAAGUUAUGAUUUUUGAUAGGAUUUGGUUUUGUUUGAUUGGAUCAUGUGUUCAAACAGCUUGUCGCUGUGAAAGUAGCCACAAAGACGCAGCUCAUUAUUACAGAGGUAAUAUAAAUGAACAGCGUUCACCAGGCUAUGAGCUGACAAGACCCUAAAAACCCCCUAAUGACUUCAGUUCUAGCCUGAUCUACGUCCCUAAAGUAGAAACUGAAAGUUGG